RNAcentral lists this long non-coding RNA (945 nucleotides) under Papio anubis (olive baboon). Its description in RNAcentral is "lncRNA (ENSPANG00000043518.1)". The record is from RNAcentral. Lineage: Eukaryota; Metazoa; Chordata; Mammalia; Primates; Cercopithecidae.
GUCGGCCAGGCUGGUCUCAAGCUCCUGACCUGAAGGGUACACAAAACUACUGAGUGAAAGAAAAUGCUAGAUGCGGGAAAGCCCAUCCAACCCAGCUCCUUACUUUGCAGGUUCAUAUUCUAAAGAGAGCAGGCACUGAGCAAACGUUUGUUGAACUGAACCGAUCUGCUUGUUACGGGGAUGUGACCUCUACUUUAUGGUGUCAAACUAAACAAACACAUACUUCUCCAGACAAAUACUGAAACCGGUGAACUUCAAAAUAAGGUCUUCACAGAAUGAGAGGCAUAGCAACACUCAUGACCCCAGGCUAGUUCUGUUCUUUGCCAGUGUGUGGUUUGGGAGCUCUGUGAAGUGUUUGCAGUCGCUACUAAUAAUCCAGGUGACAUGACAAACAUUGCCAUUCCCUUGGUCCGGAACAAAUAGAGGAGGGCUCACUCGUAAGCAGCAUCUGAGCAACAGGCUCACCAGACAUCAGCCUCUUCACUCCGACUCUUCCAAACUCCAGCUCUCUUCAUUAAGAUAUUCUGGAAGCAACUGAAGAGUUUCUACAAACGUUUUGGAAAUUACAGGUGAAAUAUAUGUGUUUCCUUUUCUCCUUGCCUUUUUGAUACGGAAUGAUAACGAAAAUUUAAGUUUUUAUAAUUAGGCUUUUUAAAAGGGAAGAGAUCUUUAACUUUCAUUUAAAUGUGGAAAAUUGCUUAAUGGUAUGGAAAAUAUGCCAAAGAUGGUAAAGCAAGCAGGGAAGGCCUGCGCUAGAUAACUCUGUGUCUUGGUUGCUGUGGGGAAGGUGAGUGAACCAUUUUUCCUGUGAGGCAUUUUUGCAGAUAUUUGUAAGGUAUUGUAGCUUUGAGAAGGAGUUUGGACAAAUGUCCUCAUGGCCUGUACAUGUGGGCCAUGUAUAGGACUCGUGAUUUGAUCUUUAAGGCCUGGGGAAGCCCCUGGAGG